Molecule: ribosomal RNA, 253 nt
Filed under: uncultured bacterium
Lineage: Bacteria
Description: partial 16S ribosomal RNA
Rfam family: Bacterial small subunit ribosomal RNA
Source: RNAcentral
UACGUAGGUGGCAAGCGUUGUCCGGAUUUACUGGGCGUAAAGAGCGCGCAGGCGGUUGAUUAAGUCGAAUGUGAAAGCCCCCGGCUCAACUGGGGAGGGUCACGCGAUACUGAUCGACUGGAAGGCAGGAGAGGGUAGUGGAAUUCCCGGUGUAGUGGUGAAAUGCGUAGAUAUCGGGAGGAACACCAGUGGCGAAGGCGACUACCUGGCCUGUUCUUGACGCUGAGGCGCGAAAGCUAGGGGAGCAAACGGG